AUUGAACGCUGGCGGCAUGCCUAAUACAUGCAAGUCGAGCGAAUGGAUUAAGAGCUUGCUCUUAUGAAGUUAGCGGCGGACGGGUGAGUAACACGUGGGUAACCUGCCCAUAAGACUGGGAUAACUCCGGGAAACCGGGGCUAAUACCGGAUAACAUUUUGAACCGCAUGGUUCGAAAUUGAAAGACGGCUUCGGCUGCCACUUAUGGAUGGACCCGCGUCGCAUUAGCUAGUUGGUGAGGUAACGGCUCACCAAGGCAACGAUGCGUAGCCGACCUGAGAGUGUGAUCGGUCACACUGGGACUGAGACACGGCCCAGACGCCUACGGGAGGCAGCAGUAGGGAAUCUUCCGCAAUGGACGAAAGUCUGACGGAGCAACGCCGCGUAAGUGAUGAAGGCUUUCGGGUCGUAAAACUCUGUUGUUAGGGAAGAACAAGUGCUAGUUGAAUAAGCUGGCACCUUGACGGUACCUAACCAGAAAGCCACGGCUAACUACGUGCCAGCCGCCGCGGUAA
Molecule: ribosomal RNA, 515 nt
Filed under: uncultured bacterium
Lineage: Bacteria
Description: partial 16S ribosomal RNA
Rfam family: Bacterial small subunit ribosomal RNA
Source: RNAcentral